UGAGCUUGAUCAUGGCUCAGAUUGAACGCUGGCGGCAGGCCUAACACAUGCAAGUCGAGCGGCAGCACGAAAUAGCUUGCUACUUUGCUGACGAGCGGCGGACGGGUGAGUAAUGUCUGGGAAACUGCCUGAUGGAGGGGGAUAACUACUGGAAACGGUAGCUAAUACCGCAUAACCUCGCAAGAGCAAAGUGGGGGACCUUCGGGCCUCACGCCAUCGGAUGUGCCCAGAUGGGAUUAGCUAGUAGGUGGGGUAAUGGCUCACCUAGGCGACGAUCCCUAGCUGGUCUGAGAGGAUGACCAGCCACACUGGAACUGAGACACGGUCCAGACUCCUACGGGAGGCAGCAGUGGGGAAUAUUGCACAAUGGGCGCAAGCCUGAUGCAGCCAUGCCGCGUGUGUGAAGAAGGCCUUCGGGUUGUAAAGCACUUUCAGCGAGGAGGAAGGCGUUAAGGUUAAUAACCUUAGCGAUGACGUACUC
RNAcentral lists this ribosomal RNA (481 nucleotides) under Pectobacterium sp. 01WB03.3-33. RNAcentral's name for it is "bacterial SSU rRNA". It matches the Rfam family "Bacterial small subunit ribosomal RNA", at positions 1 to 480 of the family's 1533-position model. The record is from RNAcentral. Lineage: Bacteria; Pseudomonadati; Pseudomonadota; Gammaproteobacteria; Enterobacterales; Pectobacteriaceae.